RNAcentral lists this transfer RNA (96 nucleotides) under Desulfovibrio sp. Its description in RNAcentral is "tRNA-Lys". Lineage: Bacteria; Pseudomonadati; Thermodesulfobacteriota; Desulfovibrionia; Desulfovibrionales; Desulfovibrionaceae. The record is from RNAcentral.
GCGGGAGGGUCCGCGGGGGCGCUGUUUCCCGCUUGCGUGGGGCGAGUAUCUGCCUUUUAAGCAGAGAGUCGCAGGUUCAAGGCGCUGCCUCCCGCU